UUGCAUCGAUGAAGAACGCAGCGAAAUGCGAUAAGUAAUGUGAAUUGCAGAAUUCAGUGAAUCAUCGAAUCUUUGAACGCACAUUGCGCCCCCUGGCAUUCCGGGGGGCAUGCCUGUUCGAGCGUCAUUACACCACUCAAGCCUGGCUUGGUAUUGAGCGCCGCGGCCUGCCCGCGCGCUCCAAUGUCUCCGGCUGAGCCGUCCGUCUCUAAGCGUUGUGAAUAGCGAUCGCUUGCGAGGCCCGGGCGGUUCGACGCCGUUAAACCCCCCAUUUUCUAUGGUUGACCUCGGAUCAGGUAGGGAUACCCG
RNAcentral lists this ribosomal RNA (309 nucleotides) under uncultured Dothideales. Its description in RNAcentral is "eukaryotic LSU rRNA". The stretch from base 1 to 127 matches the Rfam family "5.8S ribosomal RNA", at positions 28 to 154 of the family's 154-position model. The record is from RNAcentral. Lineage: Eukaryota; Fungi; Ascomycota; Dothideomycetes; Dothideales.